Molecule: ribosomal RNA, 483 nt
Filed under: uncultured bacterium
Lineage: Bacteria
Description: partial 16S ribosomal RNA
Rfam family: Bacterial small subunit ribosomal RNA
Source: RNAcentral
GACGAACGCUGGCGGCGUGCUUUACACAUGCAAGUCGAACGGUGAAGGUGGAGCUUGCUCCGCCGGAUCAGUGGCGAACGGGUGAGUAACACGUGGGCAACCUGCCCCUAACUUUGGGAUAACUACUCGAAAGAGUAGCUAAUACCGGAUAUGAAGUCUGUAGGCAUCUAUGGAUUUGGAAAGUUUUUCGGUUAGGGAUGGGCCCGCGGCCUAUCAGCUUGUUGGUGAGGUAGUGGCUCACCAAGGCGACGACGGGUAGCCGGCCUGAGAGGGCGACCGGCCACACUGGGACUGGGACACGGCCCAGACUCCUACGGGAGGCAGCAGUGGGGAAUAUUGCGCAAUGGGCGAAAGCCUGACGCAGCAACGCCGCGUGUGGGAUGAAGGCCUUCGGGUUGUAAACCGCUUUCAGCAGGGAAGAAGCGAAAGUGACGGUACCUGCAGAAGAAGCACCGGCUAACUACGUGCCAGCAGCCGCCGUAA